Molecule: transfer RNA, 69 nt
Filed under: chicken gut metagenome
Rfam family: tRNA
About the family: Transfer RNA (tRNA) molecules are approximately 80 nucleotides in length. Their secondary structure includes four short double-helical elements and three loops (D, anti-codon, and T loops).
Source: RNAcentral
UCAGGUAGCUCAGUCGGUAGAGCAAGGGACUGAAAAUCCCUGUGUCGGCGGUUCGAUUCCGCCCCUGAC